GAGGGUGUAGCUCAGUGGUAGAGUGCAUGCUUAGCAUGCACAAGGUCCUGGGUUCAUUUCCCAGUACCUCCA
This 72-nucleotide transfer RNA is filed under the name Camelus bactrianus (Bactrian camel). It matches the Rfam family "tRNA". Rfam says of the family: Transfer RNA (tRNA) molecules are approximately 80 nucleotides in length. Their secondary structure includes four short double-helical elements and three loops (D, anti-codon, and T loops). The record is from Rfam by way of RNAcentral. RNAcentral also lists the same sequence under 2 other names. Lineage: Eukaryota; Metazoa; Chordata; Mammalia; Artiodactyla; Camelidae.